Molecule: long non-coding RNA, 276 nt
Filed under: Linum usitatissimum (flax)
Lineage: Eukaryota; Viridiplantae; Streptophyta; Magnoliopsida; Malpighiales; Linaceae
Description: long non-coding RNA (LUSI_LNC003408)
Source: RNAcentral
GUAGAUCUUGAAAAUAGAGCCAAUACUAGAAAUCGAGGUAGAUCCUUGCUCCACCACCUUCUGUUUAGCUACGUCAACGGGGGCCUUCUGAACCGGGUGUGGCUGUCUGAUUAGGCCAACAAAUAAGAGAACUGACCUUUUCGAAGCUAUUAACGGCCAAAUUGAUGACUAAUUUGAUGUCAGAAUUGACAUCAACAACUGACGUAGAAGAAGAACCGACGGAGGUAGAGGCGGAGGCCUCUUCUUUAUUAUUCGAGCGGAGUACAAUUAGAGGGA